Molecule: non-coding RNA, 28 nt
Filed under: Rattus norvegicus (Norway rat)
Lineage: Eukaryota; Metazoa; Chordata; Mammalia; Rodentia; Muridae
Source: RNAcentral
UCACAAUAUCAUGGCCUCUGUUCAGGGU